This 704-nucleotide ribosomal RNA is filed under the name uncultured bacterium. RNAcentral describes it as "bacterial SSU rRNA". It matches the Rfam family "Bacterial small subunit ribosomal RNA", at positions 524 to 1230 of the family's 1533-position model. The record is from RNAcentral.
CANGUAGGGUGAUGCGUUGUUCGGAUUUAUUUGGGCGUAAAGGGUCCGCAGGGNGGUCCGCCAAGUCUGAUGUGAAAUCCCGUGGCUCAACCACGGAACUGCAUUGGAAACUAGCAGACUAGAGUAUUGGAGAGGUAAGUGGAAUUUCUGGUGGAGCGGUGGAAUGCGUAGAUAUCAGAAAGAACACCGAGAGCGAAGGCAGCUUACUGGACAAUUACUGACCCUCAGGGNACGAAAGCAUGGGUAGCAAACAGGAUUAGAUACCCUGGUAGUCCAUGCCGUAAACGUUGUAUACUAGAUGUGGGAGGAUUUAGCCCCUUCCGUGUCCAAGCUAACGCGAUAAGUAUACCGCCUGGGGACUACGGCCGCAAGGCUAAAACUCAAAGGAAUUGACGGGGACCCGCACAAGCGGUGGAGCAUGUGGCUCAAUUCGAGGCAACGCGAAGAACCUUACCUGGGUUUGACAUAUUUCUGACAUCCGUAGAGAUACGGCUUUCCUUCGGGACAGAUUUACAGGUGCUGCAUGGCUGUCGUCAGCUCGUGUCGUGAGAUGUUCGGUUAAGUCCGGCAACGAGCGCAACCCAUGUCGUUAGUUGCAAACAGUUCGGCUGUGCACUCUAGCGAGACUGCCCGUGUCAGCGGGAGGAAGGCGUGGACGACGUCAGUCCGUAUGGCCUUAUGCCAGGGCUGCACACGUGCUACAA